GUUUCAGAAUGCAAAGCAGUGAUUUAGAAAAACCCCAGGAGCUGAUCUGAUACCAAGCAGCUGCUGUUCGCCUUCAUGUCACUGGAGCAGCUCGUCAGAGAUCAUCUCUUCAAUCACAGGCACUCCAGCAGCCCAGGACGAUCAAUUCAUAACGUGCUUGGAGCGGAGGAAUGUCCCCAUUUGCCAUUCUGAAUGAUGAACUGGAGGGAUUCCAUGUGAACUGGAACAACCUCCAGGAAGUGAUGCAGAGUGAAAGGAGCGGAACCAGGAGAACCUUAUACACAGCGAUGGAUACACUGUGGUACAAUCAGAUAUAAUAGACUUCUCUACUAGCAGCAAUGCAAUGAUCCAGGACAAUUCUGAGGGACUUAUGAGAAAGAUCACUAUCCACAUCCAGAGGAAGAACCGUGGGAGCAGAAACACAGAAGAAAAACAUCUGCUUGAUGAUGUGGUUUGAUGGGGAUAUGGACUCUAAAGGAUCACUCUAUUGCAAAUAUUGAUAAUAUGGAAAUAGGUUUUGAACAAUGAUACAUGUAAAACCCAGUGGAAUUUCUCAUUGGCUACAGGAGAGGGGGAGGGAAAGAACAUGAAUCAUGUGACCAUGGAAAAUAUUCUAAAUUAAUUAAAAAAUGAAAAAUAAAAAAACAAAAACAAACA
Molecule: long non-coding RNA, 657 nt
Filed under: Monodelphis domestica (gray short-tailed opossum)
Lineage: Eukaryota; Metazoa; Chordata; Mammalia; Didelphimorphia; Didelphidae
Description: lncRNA (ENSMODG00000049353.1)
Source: RNAcentral